ACAUAUCACUGUAUGCUUCCCACAGAGGGUUAACGCUCCUGCUGAACCGGAUGUGAUUCCUGCUCCGUUUCAGUGUUGUCGUUGCACGGCCAAUGGCGGACGGAGCCUGAGCAUUUGUCUGAAAAACGUACGUUUUGCACAAAUAUACUCGAAUAUCGAUAGGCCAGUCAAAGCUUUCAGAUCGCACGCGUGUUUUUGGCCCUGAUCAGAUUUGCGCCCAUCAGCAUGGAUGUGAAUUUGACCAUCUCUCUGAUGCGGGGCCAGAUGGGCGCUGUUAUUGAGAAAGCCGUGAACGUCGCGGUGGAGACCGUGCUAGGCGAGAUGAUCCGGGUGGUCGGGCUCAAAUUUGAGGAGAUCAAACGUGACAUGACAGCUAAAGAGAAGGAGAAUGAGAACAUCAGGAGGAUGUUGGAGGCGUCUCGCUGUCAGAUGAAAACCAUGCGCAAGUACAUCAGCGUCCUGUCUGCUAAAGACCCCAACCAUAGACUGUGUCAGGGAGAUGGAGACAUGGCAACAACAUCCACAGGGAUGCACUGCAGAAGAGGGCCGACGAGCACUGUGUCAGUGUGUGCCAAAACCCCAGACCCCUGUCCCAGACCCAGAGUCUCUGAACCAGCCCCUGUAGCUGCCCCCUCAUGGGUGAGGCUGAGACAGCAGAUGCACAUGUCCAAAGAAACAUUAAGAAGUGAGAAUCACAUUGCUGAUGUCCAUAUUGAAGAGAUCCAUGGAUCAUCAGUUCAUAAAGUUGAGAUCUCAAGCCCUCAUCUGGUGGACAGCCAGGUGCUUCUGUCUGAGACCAGUGAUCCAGUAUGGGGUCAGAACCCUCUCGUCUCUGCAGAGACUGGGCACACAGACAUGCCAGACAGCAGCGUCCUCUCUGCACCCAUGAUGGCAGAUGAAAGUGUGUCAUCCCAAACUACAAGCACAGUGGCAUUUGGAGCACCUUCACUUAAAAUCAAACAGGAGGAAGCGGAGGUUGAAAUAGUCUGUGUGAAGGAUGAACACGCAGAAGCUGGCAGCAUCCCUAGAUUUGAAUAUUCCGACCCUGAACUUCACCAGCAAGUGGGAGAACCAGAGCUCGGGGUCUCACUAGAUCUACCCGCAUCAUUUCAGGCUCUUCAGAGUCCAGGCACUUCAGCAGACCUUGCAAUCCCAGCAUUCAUGAGUGUGGACCCAACUACCUCUAUGUCAGAUGUGAGUCCAGGGAGUUUUGAAAAUAAUCAAUGUACAGUUGCAGAGAGGGCUAUUCUUGAGUCACAGGGAGAAAUGGACUGGAAAAUCAAUCACCUGACUGCACUGGUUCAGUGUCUUGUGGGGAACAGGUGCUUUGUGCCUCCACUGCAAAUAGAGGAUGAGGAUUGUGUCUUGCCUUUGAUGUCAAUGGGGGAUCUUGACCGAUUGGAGCAAAGACUUAUGGAUAGAGGGACGAUGCAAAAAUUGGUAAGAUGCUUUGGAAUUAUGGAAUUAAAGAAGUGACUGAAAUGUUGGAAGAACUUUUAUUUAUAAUCUAUAUUUAAUUUCUGUUUUAGGUGAACAGAUUGUCUGUUAGUGGAGGUCAAACUAUGAAAAAGACCAUAUGGAGAAUUUGCACCAAAGUUUUUGCUUCCAAUGUGGCCAAACAGCUCAACUGGUGCGGACGGGGAGACAAGCGAGGCUUAAGAAAGACAAAUAUCGGAGCACUAAUAAUAGGUAUAUCCAAAAUAAAUUGAAUACUUUUAUGGAUAAAAGU
Molecule: long non-coding RNA, 1729 nt
Filed under: Sinocyclocheilus anshuiensis
Lineage: Eukaryota; Metazoa; Chordata; Actinopteri; Cypriniformes; Cyprinidae
Description: lncRNA (ENSSANG00000001467.1)
Source: RNAcentral